UAGGGAAUCUUCCACAAUGGGCGCAAGCCUGAUGGAGCAACGCCGCGUGAGUGAAGAAGGUCUUCGGAUCGUAAAACUCUGUUGUUAGAGAAGAACAUGCAGGAGAGUAACUGUUCUUGUAUUGACGGUAUCUAACCAGAAAGCCACGGCUAACUACGGGCCAG
This 164-nucleotide ribosomal RNA is filed under the name uncultured bacterium. RNAcentral describes it as "partial 16S rRNA". It matches the Rfam family "Bacterial small subunit ribosomal RNA", at positions 355 to 511 of the family's 1533-position model. The record is from RNAcentral.